UAGGGAAUAUUGCAAAAUGGGCGAAAGCCCGAUGCAGCAACGCCGCGUGGGCGAUGAAGGCCUUCGGGUCGUAAAGCCCUUUUUGAGGGGAUGAGGAAGGACAGUACCCUCAGAAUAAGCCUCGGCUAACUACGUGCCAGCAGCCGCGGUAAAACGUAGGAGGCGAGCGUUAUCCGGAUUUACUGGGCGUAAAGUGCGUGCAGGCGGAUUGGAGAGUUGGAUGUGAAAGCUCCCGGCUUAACUGGGAGAGGUCGUUCAAUACUUCCAGGCUUGAGUGCAGUGGAGGGAAGUGGAAUUCCGGGUGUAGUGGUGAAAUGCGUAGAUAUCCGGAGGAACCCCAGUGGCGAAAGCGGCUUCCUGGACUGUAACUGACGCUCAGACGCGAAAGCUAGGGUAGCAAACG
This 403-nucleotide ribosomal RNA is filed under the name uncultured bacterium. Its description in RNAcentral is "bacterial SSU rRNA". It matches the Rfam family "Bacterial small subunit ribosomal RNA", at positions 355 to 774 of the family's 1533-position model. The record is from RNAcentral.